GCACGUAGUUAGCCGGGACUUAUUCCUGGGGUACCGUCCUUGUCUCUUCCCCAGAAAAGGGCUUUACAACCCAAGGCCUUCAUCGCCCACGCGGCGUCGCUGCAUCCGGCUUUCGCCGAUUGUGCAAUAUCCC
Molecule: ribosomal RNA, 133 nt
Filed under: uncultured bacterium
Lineage: Bacteria
Description: partial 16S ribosomal RNA
Source: RNAcentral